RNAcentral lists this non-coding RNA (22 nucleotides) under Arabidopsis thaliana (thale cress). Lineage: Eukaryota; Viridiplantae; Streptophyta; Magnoliopsida; Brassicales; Brassicaceae. The record is from RNAcentral.
AGAGAGGCGCUACAAAUCAUGG